This 1093-nucleotide ribosomal RNA is filed under the name uncultured bacterium. Its description in RNAcentral is "bacterial SSU rRNA". It matches the Rfam family "Bacterial small subunit ribosomal RNA", at positions 306 to 1401 of the family's 1533-position model. The record is from RNAcentral.
CCCCACAUUGGAACUGAGACACGGUCCAAACUCCUACGGGAGGCAGCAGUGAGGAAUAUUGGUCAAUGGGGGGAAGCCUGAACCAGCCAAGUAGCGUGCAGGAUGACGGCCCUAUGGGUUGUAAACUGCUUUUAUGCGGGGAUAAAGUAUGGGACGUGUCCCAUUUUGCAGGUACCGCAUGAAUAAGGACCGGCUAAUUCCGUGCCAGCAGCCGCGGUAAUACGGAAGGUCCGGGCGUUAUCCGGAUUCAUUGGGUUUAAAGGGAGCGUAGGCCGCCCCUUAAGCGUGUUGUGAAAUGCCGCGGCUCAACCGUGGCACUGCAGCGCGAACUGGGGGGCUUGAGUGUGCGCGACGCAGGCGGAAUUCGUGGUGUAGCGGUGAAAUGCUUAGAUAUCACGAGGAACCCCGAUUGCGAAGGCAGCUUGCGGGAGCACUACUGACGCUGAAGCUCGAAGGCGCGGGUAUCGAACAGGAUUAGAUACCCUGGUAGUCCGCGCGGUAAACGAUGGAUGCCCGCUGUGUGCCAUUAUGGUAUGCGGCCAAGCGAAAGCGUUAAGCAUCCCACCUGGGGAGUACGCCGGCAACGGUGAAACUCAAAGGAAUUGACGGGGGCCCGCACAAGCGGAGGAACAUGUGGUUUAAUUCGAUGAUACGCGAGGAACCUUACCCGGGCUUGAACUGCCAGCGGACGAUACAGAGAUGUUGAGGCCCUUCGGGGCGCUGGCGGAGGUGCUGCAUGGUUGUCGUCAGCUCGUGCCGUGAGGUGUCGGCUUAAGUGCCAUAACGAGCGCAACCCCUCUCCGUAGUUGCCAUCAGGUGAUGCUGGGCACUCUGCGGACACUGCCACCGCAAGGUGUGAGGAAGGUGGGGACGACGUCAAAUCAGCACGGCCCUUACGUCCGGGGCUACACACGUGUUACAAUGGGGGGUACAGAGCGCCGGCUUGCCGCAAGGAGAGUCCAAUCGCGAAAACCUCCCUCAGCUCGGACUGGGGUCUGCAACCCGACCCCACGAAGCUGGAUUCGCUAGUAAUCGCGCAUCAGCCAUGGCGCGGUGAAUACGAACCCGGGCCUUGCACUCACCGCCCGUCAAG